CCUUCCACAGGUCGGACCAGUACCAGGCUGUCACCACCACAGAAGAGCCCCCUUGACCCCCCAGCUGGGCCACUCUCCAGUGAGAAAAUACAUAAGAUGUGGUCCAUAGCCAGGGUGCAGCCCACAAAGCCCCAGCCCAGUAUGCAGAGCAGCAGACCCAGGAUCUGAGCCAGUCUCCUCCACAUCCUCUCAGUCUGAUAUACGAGUUUUUGAGGAAUGGUGUCGUCUCGCUCCUCGAACUGCCUGACAGCGACGAAACUGUCCGGCUGCCGCUGCUGCUGCUGCUCCUCGACCCGGACAACGUUGAC
Molecule: long non-coding RNA, 308 nt
Organism: Dicentrarchus labrax (European seabass)
Lineage: Eukaryota; Metazoa; Chordata; Actinopteri; Moronidae
Exons: 3
Source: RefSeq, a predicted model, not a curated record